ACGUAGGGGGCAAGCGUUAUCCGGAUUUACUGGGUGUAAAGGGAGCGUAGACGGUAAAGCAAGUCUGAAGUGAAAGCCCAGGGCUCAACCCCGGGACUGCUUUGGAAACUGUUUAACUAGAGUGCUGGAGAGGUAAGCGGAAUUCCUAGUGUAGCGGUGAAAUGCGUAGAUAUUAGGAGGAACACCAGUGGCGAAGGCGGCUUACUGGACAGUAACUGACGUUGAGGCUCGAAAGCGUGGGGAGCAAACAG
RNAcentral lists this ribosomal RNA (251 nucleotides) under uncultured bacterium. RNAcentral's name for it is "partial 16S ribosomal RNA". It matches the Rfam family "Bacterial small subunit ribosomal RNA", at positions 525 to 775 of the family's 1533-position model. The record is from RNAcentral.